Long non-coding RNA from Oncorhynchus tshawytscha (Chinook salmon), 345 nucleotides. The record is from Ensembl. NCBI's taxonomy places the organism in Eukaryota, Metazoa, Chordata, Actinopteri, Salmoniformes, Salmonidae.
GUUAGGGUGGUUUAAGGGUUGUGGUGGUGUUUAAGGGUUAGGGUGGUGGUUGUGGGUUAGGGUGGUGGUUAAGGUUUGGUGGUGGGGGUUAGGGUGGUGGUUAAGGGUUAGGGUGGUGGUUAAGGUUUAGGGUUAGGUGGUGGUUAAGGGUUAGGGCGGUGGUUAAGGGUUAGGGUGGUGGUUAAGGGUUAGGGUGGUGGUUAAGGGUUAGCGUGGUGGUUAAGGGUUAGGGUUAGGGUGGUGGUUAAGGGUUAGGGUUAGGGUGGUGGUUAAGGGUUAGGGUUAGGGUGGUGGUUAAGGGUUAGGGUUAGGGUGGUGGUUAAGGGUUAGGGUGGUGGUUAAAGG